This 719-nucleotide long non-coding RNA is filed under the name Mus caroli (Ryukyu mouse). RNAcentral's name for it is "lncRNA (MGP_CAROLIEiJ_G0013797.1)". The record is from RNAcentral. Lineage: Eukaryota; Metazoa; Chordata; Mammalia; Rodentia; Muridae.
GAGGACAGCGCAGCCCACAAGGAUAAGGGUACAUCUGGUUGGUGUCUUGAUCGCUACAAAUGCUAGUGACCAAGACAGCUGAUCUGCAGAUGACUUGUCUCCUCCACCCACGGACCAGAUGCUGUUGUAGCCCCUGGCCUGCUGCUGUGGGAGCCAGUGCCACUGAUCUCAGCCAAGAGGCUAAGAAGUGAUGAGCACACUCACGAGCCAUCAGGACGCAGAAGGAAGACUGCUACUUAACCUCAGAACCCACUUCGGACUGCUAUGUGUCUUGAAAAUUUCAGCAAUGGAUGUAAGGAUAUUUCCUGAUGUCAUGGAAACUGGAAAAGCCAGUGGAAACCAGGCAGACACAGUUCAUAAGGAGAAUACAGUGGAUCUCUCAAACAACCCCUGACAUCCCUCUACCACGAUGUCAAGACAAAGGAGUCCACUGAAAUGUACUUUUUAUUAUUCACCAGAUGGUCAGGCUACAGGGACACAGCCAUUCUGUCCCUCUGCUCAGGACAACUGUGAAAAGCUCCUCUCUGGGAGACUGGCAACAUUAGAAAGAUUGUAAACGUGGCCACUGAGACUGUAGCUCAGUACUGGCCCAUUACUGGAGAAGACCAGCCCCCACUGUUGCAUUUUAAACACUGCAUAUCCUUCAACCCUCUAAACCUUUCAGUGCCUAGCCGACAAAUGUGUGCACACCUGCACACUUACAAAAUGCACUCACACAA